CUCAAGACUAGACGAAAAUUACAUUAAAUUGAUUUUUUUCAGUUAUUAGUAUUUUAUAUGGCCUCACCAAAUCCAAAAAUUCCUUUUUCUUUAUAACCUUACUAGGUAUCCUCAAUUCCCUUCAAAUGGUACCUAUCUUAGAUUAUCUACUGCCUCAUCCACUGCUUGCUAAUUUACUGAGAACACUGCCUUCCGGUGGUGGUUCACGGGGAAGUGUUACUGCUCCCUUAGGUCUGGCCUGUCCCCCAGGCCUUCUGCCUCCGAGCCGGCUUUGUGUGGAGGGGUUGAAGGGUUGCAUCCAGCAGCCCUGACCGGCUUUGAGAAGGCAGGCCUGGGGAGCAGCCUGGGGGUGUACUGUGUUCUCCUCCCCAGUCCUCCCUUCCCGCUUCCUGGUCGCCAGGCCCUGAGCAGCUUCUCCGCUGGGCCCCUCUGCCACGCUAUUCUUCCUCAGAGCCUGCAAUCUUGGAUUGAAACUUAUGAAACUCGAGCCAGAAUACCGCCCCUCCUCAGCGGUGUGUCUCAGGGAUGAGAAAAGUGACUUAAGACAGUUAUCUUAUGCUCACUUAAAAUUCAAUCUUCCCAAAAUUCUUUACAUAAAGCUGCCAGUGAGUCUUGCCAUAGAAAACUCUGGGUCUGGUAAUGAGUCUAAUUUCUCUUUAAACACUGCCAAUUUCUACUGCACACACUUGAUGAUUCUGCUAGUUAACUGGAUAGAGUAUUGACCAGCGUGUUACAUUUAGCGCUCUGCUUCACCAAGUCUCUAACGUCGUCUCCAGUGACUCGUGAGCGCUGCGUUCUGGUGCUAGCACAUCCAGGCAUUCCCUUAGUACAGGGAGCAAGAUGUUGUGUUGACAGAUUUCAGUGACAUUUAAAUAGAAUUAUGCUAUCAUAAUUAGAGGGUAAGAAAAAAUUGUCAUGCAUCUCAGGUCUCUGAAAUUGCAUACAGUGGAAAAGUUCUUGGCAUGACACUCAGCUAAAAUUUAGAGAUAUACAAGCACUGAUAUAUAGACACCCCACACAAAUAUCCAAAGUUGCUCAACUCCGUCAUAUAAAAUGGAAUCAUAUUUGAAUAUAAUCUGCACAUAUCCUCUGUAUACAUGCUUUAAAUCAUUUCUAAAUUCCUAAUUUAUUAUAUAACUUACUAUAACUAUUAUAGUGUAAACACUAUGUAAAUAGCUGUUAUACUGCAUUGUUUUGGGAAUAAUCACAAGAAAAAUGUCUACAUAUUCCAUGCACAAAUAAUACUUUUUCUGAAUAUUUCAUAUUCGGUUUCUUGAAUCUGAGGAUACCAAUAUACUGUGCUUAUUUGGCAAGACGAUAGCUCAGAAGCUGCAGAAUUAAAAACCUUAAGCUUUUCAGUUUGGGCAAGCCUCUAUAGCCUGUAUGUCCCAAGAUAUCUUUGAGAACUACUAAGAAAUCAAAUAAUGAAAACAUACCAGUUUUAGAAACAAUUUUAAGGCAAAGCAAUAGGAAAAAAUGUCUUUGGAGACUUAAAGCUUGAUAAAGACUUUUUGUAAUUACAUCUCAUCCUUAAUAUCCCCAAUUCUGAUUGCCUCCUAUAAAAUGAUCUGUUUUGUGUAAAGUCCACACUGAAUAUUAACUGCAUUUAUGCAGACUUCCAAAUGAUUCCUGAAGCAGCAGCUCUGUAGCUACCACCCACAGUGGUACUUUGGGUGAAUCGAUUUCCACUCUGGAGCACUAAGCUGAAGGAAGACAGAUCAGGAGCAAGAAAAGCAAAACUUCAAAGUUCCACUACUUUUUUGGAAGGAGGGGAUGGUACUGGGAUUGAACACAGGGCCUUUGUACCAAGUUACAUCUCCAGCCCUUCUUAUUUUUAUAUUUUGAAACAAGGUCUAAGUGGCUAAGUUGCCUGGGAUGGACCUAAACUGUGAUCUUCCUGCUUCAGCCUCCCAGAGUGCUGGGAUUACAGCUAUGUGCCACCACAUCUAGCUUCACUGCCUAUUUAAAAGGGUCAAUCACCAACCACUACCCUUGUCACAAAGAAAGCAAAGUAGUGUAAAAUGGACUGCUGGAGAUCUUGCCCCUCACUUGACUGCCUCAGCACUGCCCGUCAUUAAGCAUGAGAAUCGAUGCAAACAUUAAUUUAACUGCUUCAGCAUUAUAAUCUUAAAAUUGAAUUCUUCAGAGUUAAAAUGCUCUCCUUCUUUUCCCUUCUUGUACUUCCAAGGGCAUACCAUACCACUUAGCUGUGUAUUUAACUUCUUUAACCUUUACCAAGGACAGGAACAAGAUGAUUAUAGAGAAUGCUCAUAUUUUGAUACUAGAUGGUUGUUAUCUUGGUAAUGUAGAGUUAGAACCUGUAAUUACUUCAAAUUCUAUGAAGUGUUGCUUCUGAAUAUUUACCUUCAAGUCCCAAUAAAUGAGAAUGAAAAGAGUUUCAAACAUUCCCAGAACAUUUAUAAAGUAUUAUGAGAACUUUUCUCCUGGAAUGGAACAUCAUCUAUGUAACCAAAAUAUGAGGUUUCCCUUGAAAAGCUUAUUUGGUUGAUGCUUCAGAGAUCAGAGCUUCUUCACAAGGAACGAACACUACAUAGAAUAGUUUUUCUAAAUGCCAAACCGGUGUCUUGGGAGGGAAGGUCUGGCUCUGGGAAGUGAGCACUGCUUAGUGUACCAGACAGAUGAUGCCAGGGAUUCUCAUUCUGGUCACCUACAGCCCCAACCAUUGACAAGAGGAACUUCAGAAUACCUUUAGGAUUGAAUGAAUUCUAGACAAAAAAAAAAACUAUCUCAUUUUCACCUACAAUGUCUAAAAACGUACAAAUAUUUAGCACUGAAGGUUGUUUCGUAAUUCAUUUGUGAUUGUCCUAUUACUAGAAUAAAGGAACAAUGGGAGAAAGAUAAUCCUACCUGUUUUAGUAAACUACACCCCUAUUUAGUACUUUUUAAACACUGAAAAAACAAAGAAUAUCCUAAAGCAAAUUAGUUGAAAUUCAUAGCUAACCUCUCAAAAAUAUUUAUUUUCCAUUUUCAGAGCGGCAUCCUUGAAGUUAAAGUAGUUCUCAAAUGUGAAUUCCCAACAGGAACUAGAAGACUUACAUGUUAAAAGCAUUUAAAAACUGUUGUUAAAAAAAAAAAUUCUGUUGGCAUAUGCCCUUUAAGUACUUUCAUGUAACUGAGAAAUGGAGAGGGGAAAAAAAAAAUGCUCAAUUUGCACAGUGAGACAUUAAAGUUAAGAUAAAAACUAAGUCCUGCUAUUUAACCAAUUUUUAAAUUUUCAAAGUUGCCCUGGGCUGUAUUAAACAGUACUCCUCUCUAAACUGCCAUUCAAGGACCUACCUAGAGUUCAAUAAGUAUCUUACCCCAAACCUUCAACUACAAGGUUGUUUAUAUUUGUAUGAGGAAAAAAUAUAAAUGAAUUGUACUGUUCUUCAAUUAUCAAGUUCCAUCAUCAAAAUUUUUAAUUGACUAGCAACCGAAUAACUUACCUUCAGUGGACAUAAUUUUAAACCUUAAGUAUAAUUAAUACCAAGCAUAUCCUCUAAAUCUUUUAAGCCGAGUAAUAGUAGUGCUUACUUUUUGUUUGUUUGGUUUCUUUGGUACCGGGGAUCAAACUCAGGUCUUUGCGCUUGCAAGGCAGGCGAUGGAACCACUGAGCUAAAUCCCCAGCUCAGUAGUGCUUACUUUUAAUAUAACUUUAAAUUUUUCUCUAAAAUUUGUAUUUAAAAAUAAAAUUUGUAAAAAAUCCUAUUUUAGCAGGCUUGAUUAUAUCAACCGGUAAAACUUUAUUUUAUAACAGGAAUUGGAUCAAAUGAUUAUUAUAAUCCAGAGGAAGUAUUUUAUAACCAUAGCAAAUGCCAUUAUACAUACUGCUAAUACAGAUUUAAUAGACAAUACUGAACUAUACAAGAAUUAUUUAUUUUUCCUUAAUCUCAAAGCUAUUAUUAGUAGUACAAAAAAGCCAUAUUAACAUUUUCCAUUAGAAAACAACAUGAUAUACAAAACUUUGGAUGAAAAGAUAUGUCAAACUUCAUUUAUCACUUGGAAAAAAAUCCACCACUCCAUCAGUACCACCCAAAGUAUUUUAGGCAGUGAUUAAAAUCAAAAUAAUGCAUUUUCAUAAGUUCCAGCUGUUAAAAGAACAAAGCUAGUAAUAUAUAAUAAUAGUUUUGUACACAGUAGUUUUGACUACUCACUUUGGGAGUUUUGUUUUAUAUCCUUUUUUUAAAAAAACAGUCCUACUACAUACGGAGCAAACAGGUAUCUAUGAAGUUAGUGUGGGAUUCAUAGAUCAAUCCUUUGGUUACCAAAUUUCAUUUCUAACUUUCACAUGUCCUUCAAGAUCAAGAAACCUAAACAAAAAACACACACCCUUCCAAAUGUUAUUAGUGGGGAGGAUGCUUUUUAAAGAGAGGUCAUGAAUAAUUAUUUUUGACCCACCAUCCCAAUUAAAAGAGCACGUCAAAAAGCUAUUUUGUCAUUUUCCAAAUGAGGUGAAGAUCUGGCAUUCAGGUGUUACAAACGCAUUUCACUGAUUCAUCACCAACCCUGCACUGCACACUUCUCAAAACCCGCACAACAGGUGGGCAGGAACAAGUCUGCACCAAAUAUGGCAGUGGUACCCGACAUGUACCCUAAAAUUCAAUUCAGGUUAGGGUCCAGAGAAGAAAAAAAAUCCACUUACCACUUAGUGAGUGGUAAUGAGCAGAAGAGGUGAACUAGUUUAGGGUCAUUAAUGUCUAAGGAAUUAUCAUCUACAGUAAAAAAUGCUAACGCGCUUUCACUUUAAAAAACGGUCCAUAAACUGACAUUACCCAUUCAUUCAUGCCAUUGCUGCUAUGACAGGUGUCUGUUUCCUUAACCACAACACAUCAUCUAAGCAACACUCCGGACAUCAGCCAAGUGCUACGCCAUUACAGUGCCAGGUGAUACAGCAUCAAUUCCUGCAACACACUGGACCACUUUCACCACCCAUCUGCAGCUUGGAUUCACCAAACUCUCCCUCACUGGCAAGUUUUUGGACUUGCAUGACAAGAAAAUGAGUUUAUGGAAUAUUCUCGUAAGACAUUUAUAUAGUCUUAGGGUCACACUACUUUCGUCCUAAACAACUUAAUCUGACAUGCUAUAGAGAUACAAUAAAACAUAACUGUUCAGUUUUAAAAUGAAAACUAAAUGCAGACAAAUGGUGACAGAUUUGACAUGGAAUGUUAUACGAUCUACACAUGUAAUCUGACACUGCUGAUUAUGGACUUCAGAGCUUGAAAACUUCAGAUUAGAGACCACAACCAAAUUCACUUUUGGAGACAUGCAAGAUCUCCCUAAAAAUUAAGCUAAGACCUACAAGUCUUAGUCAUUAUCAGGACAUAAAGAAAGACAACAGAUUUGUACAUUUUAUUCACAUUUAUUUUUCGCUUUUAGUGUGCUCACAGAAAAUUAGAACACCUUAAGCAGGAGUUUAAUAGCAAUUUUUGUAAGCAAAGUUACAUUCCAUCUCUAAGUCAAAUUGGUCAAAGCUUCUCCAGUAUUUACAAAACAUGAUAGACAAGAUGCUACACAAAACCAUCGCAUCUGAAGAUUUUUUUCCUUUAUUCUCAAAGACAACUGGAAAAGAAAGCAUCGUCUGCUGUAAUCAAAAACAUACCACAGUAUAAACAGUAACCAUUCCACUUAUCACAGCUUGGUUGAGUUUAAAAUUUGUGUUUAAAAGGUCCAAGAUGACUGCAGUUUUACAAAAAUGGGCAGGGUGGAAAGUUGCAAACUUCAUGUGCUUCUGGAUAUCAAGAUUUGUUUUUAUACAAUAGUCACAGUUAAAAACACCCUGCUGGUAAUACAUAAUUACACUUUAUUAAGGUCAUAAACCAGCAAUAAACAAUAAAGCCUAUACAACUUGUAGUUCUACUUAAUCACUGACUGGUACAGCUAACAUGAGAUAAGUGAAAAGUUCCUAUGGUUUAAAUGAACUCCUAAGACUAUGAUCUUUUUAAAAAAUCUGGGUAUUGGUGUUUUAAUCUUUCCUUCUUAAUCAAGACUUGUAGUGUUGUAAACCUGCCUCACAAAAUACAUCCUAGUAACUUUUCUUUAAAAAAAAAAAAAAAAAAAAGACCGCCUUUACACCCUCGUGUCGGGCAGCACGGCAUCCAGUGAGUCACGUGCCGCCUCCCACGUGGCCCUCUCACUUCAUCAGAUGUCCCUUUGUGACCCACCCAUCUCCUUCAUAUAUGGGCACGUCCAUAAAUUGAUAAAGAAAGUUUACACUUUUUGAAUAAAGAUGCAAAGAAUGCAAAAACAUUAAUACUGAUGCAAAAAAACUUAAAAAAAAAGGAAAAAAAGGCCGAGGAAGACAUCUAAGCCGUCUUCGACCUGUUGGAAUGGUGGUAACAGAAUGAUCUGAGAUGGGAUCUGUGGGGAGGGGAAAUAAACACAAACAAAAUUUGCUGCUCAAAAAAUGGUGAAAUUAAAAAAAAAAAAGACAUCCUUAAAAUCAAUCCCUGGUUGUAGACGAGUUCUCCAAAACCAGUACCUGGCACCACUCCAACAAACAAUCGGGGGAGAGUCCGGCGCCACGCGCCCCGUGCCUACUCAGCGGGCUCUGCUGGGGCCUCGGGACUGCACUCGGGCUGCGGCUCGGCGGGCGCGGCCGCGGGCUCCGGGGCCUGGGCCUGGGCCUGGGCCUGAGCGGGCUCCGCCUCCUGCUCCGGCUCGGGCUCGGAAGCCGCGGCCAAGGGCGCCUCCCCGGCGGCCUCCUUCUCCUCGGGCUGCUCCCCGGCGGCGGGCGCGGGCUCCUGGGCGGCCGGUGGCUCCUGGGCCGGGGGCUCCUCCCGGCUGCGCCGCUGCCUCCGCCUCCCGCGCGCCUGCCGCCCCGCCGCCCGCCACCUCCGCGCCCUCGGCCCCCGCCGGCUCCCCGGGCGCCGCCGCCUCCGGGCCCGCGAGCUCGUCCUUGGCGCCCUCGCCAGCCGCGCCCUCAGCCUCGGCGCCCUCGCCCGCCUCCUUCUUGCUCUUCUUGAAGGAGAAGCCGCUCAACUUGAAGGACUUCUUGAAGGAGAAGCGCUUCUUUUUUUUUUUUCGGGGUCUCCCCGCUGGGCGAGGGCGCGGCACCGUCCUCCGCCUUGGGCGACGACGUGGAGGACGCGGCGGACGCGGCCUCAGCCUCGGCCUCGGCGGCGCAGGGGGGACCCGGGCUCGGCGGGAGGCUCGGCGGGCGCGGCGGGCUCCGACGCGGCGGCAGGAGGUUCCUCGGUGGGCGCGGCGGGCUCCUCCUGCUCAGCGGCCGGCGCGCUGCCAUUGGCCUGCGGCUCCUCCUUGGCGCCCGGCUCGGCGGCCGCGGGUGAGGCGUCGCCGUUGACCUUCACAUGGCCGUUCUCCUGCGGGCACAGAGAGCAGCGCGACGAGGCCACGGCCGCCUCCCCGGGCCUCUCCGCGGUGGCCUCUCCCUUGGCGGCGGUCUUGGAGAACUGGGCGCCCAUGCUGGCCUCCUCAACAAAGAAACUCCGCAGAUCCGAGAGCAAGACAAAGAGCCUGGGGGCGGCGCGGGGCCGGGCGGCGGCGGCGCGCACCGGGGUGGGAGGCGAGACGACGGCGGGCGGGCGGACGGACGGACAGACAGACGGUCGGCGCGCUCCGGGAGAGAGGGCUGGGGCGCGGCGAUCAAAGGGCGGCAGCGCGGGCGCGAGGGGAGAGGUGGGAGAGUCGAGCGCAAAAAAAGGAGCCCAAGUGUAGUUUAAAAAAAAAAGAAGUAAUCAAAAAAAAAUCCCAGAUUUGUAGCCGCACUGUAGACAAGAGGAAAAUGGAGAAAUCUCCCUGGUCGCUAAUAAGAUGCGGGGUCCAACGCCCAAGUGCACAGAUGAAUGGGCUCGCGGGCGCUGACGCGGCCCCCGCGCGCGCCGGCCAAUCCGCGCGCCGCACACAAAGCAGGGGGCGGGGCCAGCGCUCCCGGCGAACAAUGGAGCCGCGCUUUGCGAACGGUUUGAAAAAUCCGUCUCGGCCGAGAAUUAAUGUCCUCCAAAUAAAUAAAUCAAUUAAAAAAUACAUGCCUCUCGGCUCCCUCCGCUUGCAAAUCAUAAUGUGGCCCUCGAUUGGCUUGCUUUGUUUGGAAUUAAUUAACGAGGGAGGGGGUACUUGUGGACGGGGCGGAGACAGCGUUAACUUGACUGCCGCGACUCUGGCGUCUGUCUCCGCGUCCGCCUCCUCCCCGCCCCCACCCCCGGUGUUUGCGUGUGUGUGUGUGUGUGUGUGUGUGCGUGUGGUGCAGACAAUGGGUAGGACCAGGUUGUUUGCAGCCUGUUUUCUUUCUCCACGUUCCUUAUGGGAUUCGCAGACAGUGCGCAGGGCUGGCUUGCUUUCUUUUUUUAAACUGCUGCAAUUGCUAAAUCUUCCCACAUUGAAAGGUAUUUAAACCACGAAGAUCGAAUUUCAUCAAACCAGAUCUCGAGUUGGAAUUAGGUCUGUAGGCCAGAUGUGGAAAAUGCAAAAGCAGCAAACAGCAGAAGCCACACUCUCUUCCCUCUCCCACAUUGGCGUGAAAUAAAAUAUUUUGCGAUUGGCCUUCCGAGUUCAUCAGAUUCCACCUCUCUGGUUAUGCAUUCCCGAUUCGGGAUUACUUUUCACAUGGAAAACGAGAGCCUUUUGCAGAAGAUCGAGAUUGCUCGCGUUUCGUCACCGUGAAUGACAUAAUUUCCCUCUGUGCGGAGACCCAGCCCGGAGAGUCCGGUCCGCGUUUGCAGUUGGAGUGCUUCGGUCCACGGCCGUAGGGCUCGUUUUCAGCCUCCCGCCGACCUCGGAGGGGUUCCUUUGUUUUGACUGUGAGAGUGUGGCCCCGGCAGGGCCGGCAGGCCGCCGGCGGCGGUGAGGUUCUAGACCACGACUCGGAUCACGACUAGGCAGAAGCCUCCUGCGGUCCGGGCAGCGUGAGGCUCGGGCGCCCGGGUCCCCUCGGUGUGUAAACAGGUCCUGGCCCGGCCGCCGCACCCUGGUUCCCAGCGCCCGGCGCUGGUGGCUGUGGGGGCUUUAAUUUAACGUGCCUGGAGGGUCAGGCGUGCACCCAACAAGCUGGUCCUCUACCACCCGUAUUGUGGAGAAAAACCCACCACACCAUCUUUCUAGUUUUCACCUAGUGGUCGAUCCUGCAGUGUGAGUGAUCUUCCCCUGUGGACCUGAGAAGCAGUCGAGGGAAUGGCUCUCUUUUGGUUCUAGCUCUGAAAUCUCAGCUUUAUUUUCUGCUCAUUGUAGGGAAAUAGGUCAGACUCUGAGUGAAAAAGACAGCUGGUUCCAGCCAAUAACUCUUUGUUCAAGUGUUGUUUUGGAAAUCACCAAGCUGAACGUCGUUACGCGAAGCGCCACCUCCUCGCUGUCCAGCUCCCGCGGACGCCUUACUGGAUCGCGAAGUCAGUCCACACGGCAGACGGAAGGCCGCUUUCGCGGAAAGGCAGCGCGCUGCAAGGCCUGAGACCCGGCGCAGCACGCCACGCACGCCUCUCCUCCGCACACCUCCCACCCGAGCGGCCGACCCGCUCGCCGUCCGGAGAUCCCGAAGGCGCGCUUAAGGCUGUUGGUCCCCCACCCCCAACGUGAAUUGCCCCCCUUCCUCCUCACCCCCUUUCUGCUUUAGAUUGGGUGACUGCUAGCUCGCUUUCGGAUUUUCUCCCAGACACGUCCCUCGCCUCUAUUUGGGGGCUGCUCUGAUUGCUCCUUUGUUACCAGGCUGCAGUGGAGCUUUCCCCCUUUUCUUUCUCGAACGCCUAUUUGGCGGUAUCGGCGCGUCUCCCAGGCAACGGCCAGGGCUGCG
This 9739-nucleotide long non-coding RNA is filed under the name Heterocephalus glaber (naked mole-rat). RNAcentral's name for it is "lncRNA (ENSHGLG00100039605.1)". The record is from RNAcentral. Lineage: Eukaryota; Metazoa; Chordata; Mammalia; Rodentia; Bathyergidae.